GUUUGGGUUCCUCAGUUCUCUCAUCAUCCUUCUCAAUAUGUUCCGAAACAGAAGGCAACUCCAUUGGAGAAACCAAUACUGGACUCUCAAUUCCAAUGGGUUUUAAAGGAGAUUCAAGAACUGGAGGGUUAAAUGCUGGCUUUGAAAGUCGAGGUGAGGGUGUUUUGGGGCUUUCUAUAUUCUUAGAAGGUGGUGGUGGAGGUGGCGGGGGACGUGGCGGUGGUGGUCCAAGAGCUGGUGUGGCUUGCUGUAUGUGAUUUCUGAUUGUCGCCGGAAACUGAACAUCUUGAUCCAAAAGAUUGAAAAUUCCCGGAGAUGAGUCCAUGCUUCUGGUUGAAUAUCUCUCUGGUGAUAAUGGGCAUGGAGGUGACGGUGAUGGUGAUGGAGAUUCUGCAAAUGGUGGCACAAUUGUCGCCGGUGGCGGUGGAGGAGGAGGUGGAUACUGAGGUGGUGGAGCGGUGUCAACAGCGACCAGUUCCGGUGACUUGGGUCUUAAAUUUUUCCUUUCCGGACUCAAACUCGCCGGCGGCGAAAUGCUCAGCGAUACAGACCGGGCCGGCGAACCGGACCCGGAACUCGAGGACGAACUCGAAGAAGAUGAGCUACAGCCAACAAAUCUCUCAACUUCAACAGCAGAAAAAUCUCUUCGGGACAGUGAGUCACCUCCGAUUGAAC
RNAcentral lists this unclassified non-coding RNA (675 nucleotides) under Hevea brasiliensis (rubber tree). The record is from RNAcentral. Lineage: Eukaryota; Viridiplantae; Streptophyta; Magnoliopsida; Malpighiales; Euphorbiaceae.